RNAcentral lists this transfer RNA (77 nucleotides) under Acidobacteriota bacterium. RNAcentral describes it as "Acidobacteria bacterium (wastewater metagenome) tRNA-Met". It matches the Rfam family "tRNA". Rfam says of the family: Transfer RNA (tRNA) molecules are approximately 80 nucleotides in length. Their secondary structure includes four short double-helical elements and three loops (D, anti-codon, and T loops). The record is from RNAcentral. Lineage: Bacteria; Pseudomonadati; Acidobacteriota. RNAcentral also lists the same sequence under 1 other name.
GGCGGCAUAGCUCAGCUGGUUAGAGCGAGGGAUUCAUAACCCCUAGGUCCGUGGUUCGAGUCCACGUGCCGCCACCA